RNAcentral lists this ribosomal RNA (492 nucleotides) under uncultured bacterium. RNAcentral's name for it is "partial 16S ribosomal RNA". It matches the Rfam family "Bacterial small subunit ribosomal RNA", at positions 29 to 507 of the family's 1533-position model. The record is from RNAcentral.
AGUGAACGCUGGCGGUAGGCCUAACACAUGCAAGUCGAACGGCAGCACAGUAAGAGCUUGCUCUUACGGGUGGCGAGUGGCGGACGGGUGCGGAAUACAUCGGAAUCUACUUUUUCGUGGGGGAUAACGUAGGGAAACUUACGCUAAUACCGCAUACGACCUACGGGUGAAAGCAGGGGAUCUUCGGACCUUGCGCGAUUGAAUGAGCCGAUGUCGGAUUAGCUAGUUGGCGGGGUAAAGGCCCACCAAGGCGACGAUCCGUAGCUGGUCUGAGAGGAUGAUCAGCCACACUGGAACUGAGACACGGUCCAGACUCCUACGGGAGGCAGCAGUGGGGAAUAUUGGACAAUGGGCGCAAGCCUGAUCCAGCCAUACCGCGUGGGUGAAGAAGGCCUUCGGGUUGUAAAGCCCUUUUGUUGGGAAAGAAAAGCAGCAGGUUAAUACCCCGCUGUCCUGACGGUACCCAAAGAAUAAGCACCGGCUAACUUCGUG